RNAcentral lists this transfer RNA (59 nucleotides) under Ochotona argentata (Helan Shan pika). Its description in RNAcentral is "tRNA-Ser". The record is from RNAcentral. Lineage: Eukaryota; Metazoa; Chordata; Mammalia; Lagomorpha; Ochotonidae.
GAGGAAGAAUGCAAGAACUGCUAAUUCCUGCUACCAUAUAUGACAAUAUGGCUUCCCCG